Molecule: ribosomal RNA, 279 nt
Filed under: Burkholderia sp. Amy-2
Lineage: Bacteria; Pseudomonadati; Pseudomonadota; Betaproteobacteria; Burkholderiales; Burkholderiaceae
Also listed under: 5 other names
Description: partial 16S rRNA
Rfam family: Bacterial small subunit ribosomal RNA
Source: RNAcentral
AUUGAACGCUGGCGGCAUGCCUUACACAUGCAAGUCGGACGGCAGCGCGGGGGCAACCCUGGCGGCGAGUGGCGAACGGGUGAGUAAUACAUCGGAACGUGUCCUGGAGUGGGGGAUAGCCCGGCGAAAGCCGGAUUAAUACCGCAUACGCUCUGUGGAGGAAAGCGGGGGAUCUUCGGACCUCGCGCUCAAGGGGCGGCCGAUGGCAGAUUAGCUUGUUGGUGGGGUAAAGGCCUACCAAGGCGACGAUCUGUAGCUGGUCUGAGAGGACGACCAGCC